Molecule: ribosomal RNA, 497 nt
Filed under: uncultured bacterium
Lineage: Bacteria
Description: partial 16S ribosomal RNA
Rfam family: Bacterial small subunit ribosomal RNA
Source: RNAcentral
GAUGAACGCUGGCGGCGUGCCUAAUACAUGCAAGUCGAGCGAACAGACGAGGAGCUUACUCCUCUGACGUUAGCGGCGGACGGGUGAGUAACACGUGGAUAACCUACCUAUAAGACUGGGAUAACUUCGGGAAACCGGAGCUAAUACCGGAUAACAUGUUGAACCGCAUGGUUCAACAGUGAAAGACGGUUUUGCUGUCACUUAUAGAUGGAUCCGCGUCGCAUUAGCUAGUUGGUAAGGUAACGGCUUACCAAGGCAACGAUGCGUAGCCGACCUGAGAGGGUGAUCGGCCACACUGGAACUGAGACACGGUCCAGACUCCUACGGGAGGCAGCAGUAGGGAAUCUUCCGCAAUGGGCGAAAGCCUGACGGAGCAACGCCGCGUGAGUGAAGAAGGUCUUCGGAUCGUAAAACUCUGUUAUUAGGGAAGAAAAAAUGUGUAAGUAACUAUGCACGUCUUGACGGUACCUAAUCAGAAAGCCACGGCUAACUACGUG